Molecule: long non-coding RNA, 396 nt
Filed under: Olea europaea subsp. europaea
Lineage: Eukaryota; Viridiplantae; Streptophyta; Magnoliopsida; Lamiales; Oleaceae
Source: RNAcentral
CCCGUAUCCAAACAUGCAUUAUUUGACACACCAAAGAGAACUGGAACACACUAGAAAUCUUUCAUUUGCACAAACCGAGCUACCAAACAAACUCCAAGGGAACAAAAGGAACUGCUGCAAGAAUGCAUCUAUACAUGCAUUAUUCAACAUAGCAUUUCAAAACAAAAGGAAGCGCCUCUUGUCUUGCUUCUUAUCCUGGUUGAUCUUGAUGGGCUUCUUGACCUUCUUCGUGUCCAAGAAAUUGGUCCACCAUAUAGCAGAGCUUUUUGGGAACCUUUUCAGUUGAUUGUUCUCAAAAUCUACAUGAAUAAUGCCAAACCUAAUGGUGUAUCCAUCGGCCCAUUCAAAAUUAUCGAACAUUGACCAUAAGUAAUAAGACCUCACACGAACACCUUG